GACGAACGCUGGCGGCGUGCUUAACACAUGCAAGUCGAACGAAGAGCGACGGAAGCUUGCUUCUAUCAAUCUUAGUGGCGAACGGGUGAGUAACGCGUAAUCAACCUGCCCUUCAGAGGGGGACAACAGUUGGAAACGACUGCUAAUACCGCAUACGAUCUAAUCUCGGCAUCGAGGAUGGAUGAAAGGUGGCCUCUACAUGUAAGCUAUCACUGAAGGAGGGGAUUGCGUCUGAUUAGCUAGUUGGGGGGGUAACGGCCCACCAAGGCGAUGAUCAGUAGCCGGUCUGAGAGGAUGAACGGCCACAUUGGGACUGAGACACGGCCCAGACUCCUACGGGAGGCAGCAGUGGGGAAUCUUCCGCAAUGGACGAAAGUCUGACGGAGCAACGCCGCGUGAGUGAUGACGGCCUUCGGGUUGUAAAGCUCUGUUAAUCGGGACGAAAGGCCUUCUUGCGAAUAGUGAGAAGGAUUGACGGUACCGGAAUAGAAAGCCACGGCUAACUACGUG
This 510-nucleotide ribosomal RNA is filed under the name uncultured bacterium. RNAcentral describes it as "partial 16S ribosomal RNA". It matches the Rfam family "Bacterial small subunit ribosomal RNA", at positions 28 to 507 of the family's 1533-position model. The record is from RNAcentral.